GGAGCUUUUACAGAAAUUGGUA
This 22-nucleotide non-coding RNA is filed under the name Arabidopsis thaliana (thale cress). The record is from RNAcentral. Lineage: Eukaryota; Viridiplantae; Streptophyta; Magnoliopsida; Brassicales; Brassicaceae.